AGAGUUCUAUCCUGGCUCAGGACGAACGCUGGCGGCGCGCCUAACACAUGCAAGUCGAACGAGCGAGAGAGAGCUUGCUUUCUCGAGCGAGUGGCGAACGGGUGAGUAACGCGUGAGGUACCUGCCUCAAAGAGGGGGACAACAGUUGGAAACGACUGCUAAUACCGCAUAAGCCCACGGCUCGGCAUCGAGCAGAGGGAAAAGGAGCAAUCCGCUUUGAGAUGGCCUCGCGUCCGAUUAGCUAGUUGGUGAGGUAAUGGCCCACCAAGGCGACGAUCGGUAGCCGGACUGAGAGGUUGAACGGCCACAUUGGGACUGAGACACGGCCCAGACUCCUACGGGAGGCAGCAGUGGGGAAUAUUGCACAAUGGGGGAAACCCUGAUGCAGCGACGCCGCGUGGAGGAAGAAGGUCUUCGGAUUGUAAACUCCUGUUGUUGGGGAAGAUAAUGACGGUACCCAACAAGGAAGCGACGGCUAACUACGUGCCAGCAGCCGCGGUAAAACGUAGGUCACAAGCGUUGUCCGGAAUUACUGGGUGUAAAGGGAGCGCAGGCGGGAAGACAAGUUGGAAGUGAAAUCUAUGGGCUCAACCCAUAAACUGCUUUCAAAACUGUUUUUCUUGAGUAGUGCAGAGGUAGGCGGAAUUCCCGGUGUAGCGGUGGAAUGCGUAGAUAUCGGGAGGAACACCAGUGGCGAAGGCGGCCUACUGGGCACCAACUGACGCUGAGGCUCGAAAGUGUGGGUAGCAAACAGGAUUAGAUACCCUGGUAGUCCACACCGUAAACGAUGAUUACUAGGUGUUGGAGGAUUGACCCCUUCAGUGCCGCAGUUAACACAAUAAGUAAUCCACCUGGGGAGUACGACCGCAAGGUUGAAACUCAAAGGAAUUGACGGGGGCCCGCACAAGCAGUGGAGUAUGUGGUUUAAUUCGACGCAACGCGAAGAACCUUACCAAGUCUUGACAUCCCUUGACAGGCAUAGAAAUAUGUUUUCUCUUCGGAGCAAGGAGACAGGUGGUGCAUGGUUGUCGUCAGCUCGUGUCGUGAGAUGUUGGGUUAAGUCCCGCAACGAGCGCAACCCUUAUGGUCAGUUACUACGCAAGAGGACUCUGGCCAGACUGCCGUUGACAAAACGGAGGAAGGUGGGGAUGACGUCAAAUCAUCAUGCCCUUUAUGACUUGGGCUACACACGUACUACAAUGGCGUUAAACAAAGAGAAGCAAGACCGCGAGGUGGAGCAAAACUCAGAAACAACGUCCCAGUUCGGACUGCAGGCUGCAACUCGCCUGCACGAAGUCGGAAUUGCUAGUAAUCGUGGAUCAGCAUGCCACGGUGAAUACGAACCCGGGCCUUGCACACACCGCCCGUCA
RNAcentral lists this ribosomal RNA (1370 nucleotides) under uncultured bacterium. Its description in RNAcentral is "bacterial SSU rRNA". It matches the Rfam family "Bacterial small subunit ribosomal RNA". The record is from RNAcentral.